RNAcentral lists this long non-coding RNA (4248 nucleotides) under Apis dorsata (giant honeybee). RNAcentral describes it as "uncharacterized LOC116186257". The record is from RNAcentral. Lineage: Eukaryota; Metazoa; Arthropoda; Insecta; Hymenoptera; Apidae.
CGUCUGAUUGAAACCUCAAUUAAUCAAGAUCAUCUCGCAAUCCUUCGACUAAUAAGCAAAUAUUCCAUGGAAAGAUUUCAAUCAAGACUCUCUCAAAGAGAAAGAGAAGAACUAGCCGUUUCGAAACUGGAAGAAGUCGAGCAUAACCCACUUUCCUUGGACUCGCUGGAGUUGCAACUCGCGAUACAUGAAAGCGGAAUUCCACCGUCGAGCGACGAGCUCUAGUAGACUCAGGAUUAUAAAUAAAUUAUUUCCACGCUCCUAUUCCAGCGGCGCACCAAGUCGAUCGGCAACCAGCUUGAUACAGAACUGUCCCCGCAAUCCGCGUCCAUCAGCGGGACGUAUUUAUUGCCGUCCUCGCGGCGACUCGAGAGGCGCGCGCUUAGAGAGAGCGAUUCGCUUCUCUCGAACGAGUCGCGACUUAAUGAGCUCGCGUGUGUGAUGUACGAACGCGCUUGUGUGCGCGUGUGUCGUGCGGCGGAGGGCAGACCGUUCGAUCAGGUAUGAGAUAUCAUUCACGGCGCGGAGCGAAGCGGAAGCCUCGAACUCGAUUCGAUCCUGGCAAAUUAAUGCCGCUCGAGAUAUCUCAUUCAGACGUACUUACCCGGCAUGCUCGCCGAGCCACGCCGUCUGCGUGUACACCAACACUCGAGCAAGCGCAAUAACUGGCCGCGAGCACGGAGUUUCCAACUCUCUGUAUCCGUCAUGAGUCAUCUAUCAGGGCCCGCGUCGAUACACGGCCGCCAAUUUAUGACGAGAAUUUCUGUUAUGCGAAACGUGUACAUACGAUGGAAGACUUUCGAACGAGCAUCACGAGACAGAAUUCCCGCUUUUCACCCUCCACGCCGUACCGUAUAUCUCGCGCGCGAGAUCCUCGAGCACGGUGUUAAUGGAAAUUAUAUUCCUCCGGAGUUCGAUUCGAUCCCGAUGUCCGACGCCGGAAUUUUAUGCGCGCUCGUAAAAUCCCGAUUCCAUCGGCUCGAGAAUGUGGUGGUUCUCGCGAGAAUUUCAAAGCCAGGGGGAACGACACGUUCGAUUCUUUCUUAGGCGCGACACGAGCCACUACCCAUCGGAGAAAUAUGUUGAGGGAGCAAUUCCAGGCUCGAUAUCGAACGGGAGGGUAAUUAUCGCUUCGAAAAUAGAGGUGAAAAAAGGUGUACACGUUUGGACGUAUGCUUGAUUAUCUCGGAUCCGUACGGGAGUAUUUCGAGUGGUGUAUACACCCGCGCCACUUGAACGUUUCGACGUGUAAAUGCGAAGCUCGAAAGGGUUGGAGGCAAGGGGUCACGAGGACACGGCAAUCGCCACGAGCUCCACUCUGUGUACACUAAUUUCCGGCCUGUUUGAUAGAUCUUGGGUGAUUGUUAAUUAUGUUUAGAGAACCGAACCGUUUCGAGAAUCUCGAGGACGUCUGCUCGUGAGACCCGGUUGACUCGAUACACUUCAAAGCGGUAUUAAAUCUACCGGCCACCGUCCCUAACUCCGUCUCUCCCUCAUCUUCCUCCCAUCUACGUCUUCGUCCGUCUUCACGUCGGAGUAAAUUAGACAAAUACCAUUUAGACGCAAACGAUGGCACGGCAAAUGUUAAACCGUCCCUGCUACUAUUUGUUGAGUCACCCUUCUCUCUCUCUCUCUCUCUCUCUCUCUCUUUCUCUCUCUAUCUAUCUCUCUCUUUACCUCUUGGAUUCGGCACACGUAACAUCGGGAAUGCCGGAGGUAAGUUUGAUACAUGGGCACACCCCGAGCGAGCAAUUGGAGAGGAUUCGUUUCUGGACUAUAGAGCACGCCGUGGCUACGAUUAACUGGAUACGCUUGUUGGUUCGGUAACGCGAUUCUCUUGGCCUGGUUUAAGGAAAAUUUCAACUCGCGAUUCACUCGCUGCGUUGCGUUUUCCUGUGUUUCCGUGGUACGAUUCGUUAAGGGUAAAUUGGGGCAACACGGGCUUUCGGUAUCUCUGCUCUUUUGAAGCAGGGAGAUCUCGAUGUUUGGUACCAUUAUCGCGAGUUCAGCUCUGUUAAUUUUCACGAGAUUCUUGUUCCAAAUGGAAGUGCGUUAUUUACGGCCCAUAAUGGAAGGAGGACGAUUAAGGUUAGAAUAAAGCGAAACAGUUGGAAGAAGUGGAAACGAGGAUUAUAAAUUAUCGAGUUUCAGUACUGGUUUUGGAAUCCUUAUUUUUACGCUUGAUUUUAAAGAAAAACGAGUUUUGCCGGAACGAUAUCGAACGACUCGUGAUAUCGAAUUAACGUUGGUAAUAGUAACCAGUGUAUUAUCGACGAAAGAACAGAGUUGUCUCUCUCGGUAGAAGAUUUAUAUGCGUUAACGUUUCGCUGCACAUUAUUUUACUUUCUAACAUUUAUUAUUCCCAACGCGUGAUGUAAAAAUGGAAUGAUAGGUCCUCCGCGUGAACUGGUCGGUCGCCAUGAGAGGGCAAGAGAGCGAUUCGUGAAACUUUGAUCUCGCUUGAAUUUCAAUCUCGCGAGGAGUGUUAUUACCACGUAGGCAGUCGAAAAGAGGUGGAAGAAUGCGGCGAACGCGAUAUUACGCGCUUAAACGUGGGUGCUACUUCGGUGUAAUUUCCUCGACACUUAGACCGUUGAUGGGAGGCCACGAGCGGUUAAAUAAUUACGAAACAAUGAUAUUCGGAUUUCGUAAACAUCUCUCUGUGGAUCAACCGUCCGAGUUGCAACGAAUAAUAAUUUUCCAAAGAAUAAUUUUCGAAACGAGCGUGAAAAUCGUUGGACAAAAGAACGGCCCUCCCUCUCCCUCUCCUCUAUUAAACCGAUGACGAAGAGGAGUGGCUGUGCAAUUUAGUGAAAAUCGAUUAUGCCUUAACACGAGUGAUUCACGAUUCUUUUAGCAUCUGCUUGUGCGCGAAAAUUUAAUACAUCAAUUUUCAAACUUAAAUCUCCAUUUAAUUUUUCAAUUUCCAUUUCUGAACUUUUAAUUCUUUAAAAUAGUUUCUUUCAACGAGAAUAUGUUAGAGGUUAAAAGUUGUACUGUAAGUAUCUUGUUAAAAAAGUUAUAGGCUGUUUUCUCUGUAAACUUAGAGACAGUGAGAUUAUUAGGACUUUUAACGAUUACCCUUUCCUUAUCGUAACAAAGUCUUGAGUACUUGUCUUAAGCAAAAGAAAGAUCUACAAUAAAUCAAUCCCUUACUUAUUAUCCGUAAAAAUAAAAUUAUUAUAAAUUCAUUUGCUCGCGGAAUACGAUAAAUUGAUUAUAUUAUAAUCAACGAUCGCUGCAAACUGAUAAGCCACCGAUAUUAUCGAGUUCGAUGACUCCAUCCACCUGGUUAUACCUCGAUCUCGUAAAGUUUCACGAGGGAAAUGGUGGCCGUGUCUGUUCACAAGGGAAUUACUGUCAUCGGGUGGGCGAAAAUUAUUACCUAAAAAAAAAAAAAAAAGAAAAAAAAUAAUAAAUAAAUAAAUAAAUAAAAGAACACGAGGAUACAAGAAGACCGUUGUUACUGGUCGAACGUAAGUGCUAUUGCAAUGGGUGACAUUCCCAGAGCAGUGCAGCCGGUUUUAUUAGCAGCGAACGUUUACGGGAUAUUUUCUAGCGAUCCGUUCGCGAGUAAACGGCGAGAUGGUGGAAAAACGAGCAGUGAUCGAGAAAAAAGGGACACACGAUGGGUAUCUAGAAGGGAAGAGCGUCGUGGAAUUUCGCGUUUUUGAACGACCAAGGCUUGGAAUGCUUGCCAAGAUAUCCGCAAUGAAGCGCACUGUGAUUCAUUGAAUUUCGUGGAGGCGUUAUCGUGGUUGAAGGAAAAAAAUAAAAAAUAAAAAAAAUAAAAAAAAAAAGAAAAAAAGAGAGAGAACACGAUGGAAAGAGAUGAGAAACUGGAAUAAAAUAUUUUGACGCGAUGCUAUUCAUUCCGUGGUCGUUCCGAAUAUUUUACUCGCGAGGGAUCGGGUGCAGGAGUCGAAGUGAAUAUUUCAUCGCCGCAAUAUUACCCAUUUCUACAAUCUCCUUGCUGCGUUUAGGAACAUUCCGUUUUAACGAGAUGCUUCUUUCUCCAUUGUAUCAGACAGGUUCGUUUGAACGCAUGCAUUCUUCAAAUUCCUCCAACUUCCAUAAUUCAAGUUGCACUAUCAUGAUGUUAUUUCCAUAUCUCCCCGGAUCAAAAAUGGGAGGAAUAAGCGCAGGAAUAUGAAGUAACCUUCUCUCCUUAUUACUGCCGAGUAACCGAGUUUCAGGUCGAGCGAAUCAAUCCAACGUAUUCCAAGAUUUUGUUCAAAAAUUACAGAA